Dendrobium catenatum is the source of this 96-nucleotide small nucleolar RNA. RefSeq annotates it as small nucleolar RNA Z266. The transcript has a single exon. The record is from RefSeq and is a predicted model, not a curated record. Lineage: Eukaryota; Viridiplantae; Streptophyta; Magnoliopsida; Asparagales; Orchidaceae.
CGGUGGCAAAUAUGAUAAUUCAAUUAGAUGUGUAAGGAGGCUUUACCCAUGAACUCAUUCAUUUGAAAAAUACAAUAUGUUUCUGACUUUCUUCUG